Molecule: long non-coding RNA, 404 nt
Filed under: Capsicum annuum
Lineage: Eukaryota; Viridiplantae; Streptophyta; Magnoliopsida; Solanales; Solanaceae
Description: long non-coding RNA (CANN_LNC019069)
Source: RNAcentral
UUCAUAGCAUCCGUAUCAUUCCACAAGGAAUCAUGACUAUCUUCCAUUUUUUGGACCAAGGCAUCAUGGUUACUCUUCAUGUCUCGGCCCAAGGCCUCAAUUUGAGCCAUCAAGGCUCCAAUAGCAUCAUUUCCCAAAGAUUGGGAAGUAGUACCCCCAGAUUCCAUGGAAAAAUGCACCUACAAAGUGCAAAAAACAGCAAGCAAAACAACCUACAAAAUGAACAAACGAGUUAGUUCAAAAGCCUCACUUCACUCACACUCAACCUCACCUCACACUUGGUUUCACAAGUGUUGGAGAAUCGGCAAUACUUGGCAAGUUACUCGAGAGGUGAGAAGCUUUGGAUCGGAAUUGAUCUUGGAUUGAUACAACUCAAAUAAAGUGAUGCACGCACUUGAACCAAC